AGAGUUUGAUCCUGGCUCAGGAAGAACGCUAGCGGCAGGCCUAAUACAUGCGAGUCGAGGGGUAGAGAUGGGUUUACUCAUCUUGAGACCGGCGCACGGGUGCGUAACACGUAUGCAACCUACCCUUUACUGGGGCAUAGCUCAGAGAAAUCUGAAUUAAUUCCCCAUAAUAUAAUUAUAUGGCAUCAUUUGAUUAUUAAAGCUGAGGCGGUAAAGGAUGGGCAUGCGUUGCAUUAGCUAGUUGGUGAGGUAAUGGCUCACCAAGGCUACGCUGCAUAGGGGUUCUGAGAGGAUGAUCUCCCACACUGGUACUGAGACACGGACCAGACUCCUACGGGAGGCAGCAGUAGGGAAUAUUGGUCAAUGGACGCAAGUCUGAACCAGCCAUGCCGCGUGCAGGAAGACGGCCCUCUGGGUUGUAAACUGCUUUUAUAUGGGAAGAAACCCCUGGAUGCGUCCAGGGCUGACGGUACUUUAUGAAUAAGGAUCGGCUAACUUCGUGCCAGCAGCCGCGGUAAGACGAAGGAUCCAAGCGUUGUCCGGAUUUACUGGGUUUAAAGGGUGCGUAGGCGGACCGAUAAGUCAGUAGUGAAAGCCCAUAGCUCAACUAUGGACCUGCCAUUGAAACUGCCGGUCUUGAAUUCGGUUGAGGCAGAUGGAAUAUAACAUGUAGCGGUGAAGUGCUUAGAUAUGUUAUAGAACACCGAUUGCGAAGGCAGUCUGCUAAGUCGACAUUGACGCUGAGGCACGAAAGCGUGGGGAGCGAACAGGAUUAGAUACCCUGGUAGUCCACGCCCUAAACGUUGAUUACUCGCUGUUGGCGAUACACUGUCAGCGGCUAAGCGAAAGCGUUAAGUAAUC
Molecule: ribosomal RNA, 861 nt
Filed under: uncultured bacterium
Lineage: Bacteria
Description: bacterial SSU rRNA
Rfam family: Bacterial small subunit ribosomal RNA
Source: RNAcentral